RNAcentral lists this long non-coding RNA (322 nucleotides) under Brassica rapa (field mustard). RNAcentral's name for it is "long non-coding RNA (BRAP_LNC001031)". Lineage: Eukaryota; Viridiplantae; Streptophyta; Magnoliopsida; Brassicales; Brassicaceae. The record is from RNAcentral.
GGAACGAGAGUACUUACACAUUCUUAUCAAAAAAAAGGAGAGAACACUUGCAAAUUUACAAUUAAGCGCAUGGGAUAUCAAGGUCAUGACAGUUAGAACUUAGAAGCGAUUAUUACGGUUUGUCACUAACCGGAUUCCACGUGGUCAUCUCUGGAUAAAUUCGGAAUCCCGGUUAAUAUGGAGUGCGAUAUUAGACAUUACACGUGUGUAAAGAACGUGAAGUGCCCUCCAGUUCCUGCAGAAUCACAAACAAAUAAUUGUCAAUGAUUUGAUUCUUUCUUAUCUCCCUAAUAUGUCAUAUUCCAAGACAACAUAAACUGUC